CCUACGGGGGGCAGCAGUGGGGGAUAUUGCACAAUGGGGGAAACCCUGAUGCAGCGACGCCGCGUGAGCGAUGAAGUAUCUCGGUAUGUAAAGCUCUAUCAGCAGGGAAGAAAAUGACGGUACCUGACUAAGAAGCCCCGGCUAACUACGUGCCAGCAGCCGCGGUAAUACGUAGGGGGCAAGCGUUAUCCGGAUUUACUGGGUGUAAAGGGAGCGUAGACGGCAGAGCAAGUCUGAAGUGAAAGGCAAGGGCUCAACCCUUGGACUGCUUUGGAAACUGUGCUGCUGGAGUGUCGGAGAGGCAA
Molecule: ribosomal RNA, 305 nt
Filed under: uncultured bacterium
Lineage: Bacteria
Description: bacterial SSU rRNA
Rfam family: Bacterial small subunit ribosomal RNA
Source: RNAcentral